AAUGGGAGCUGUUUACUUAUGAAUAGCUUUGGCCAGAAACUCCUCCCGAAGGUGACUUGAUGUUUCCCUAACACCAUUUACUUGGAAUCAGAAUUUUUGAACUAAUAAGCUUUAACAAUGUUUGUCCCGGUCUCACCUGAGUGAUGCUGUGUUUUAGAUAAGCAGCUAGUUAGUUCUUGACUCAGUGCUCGGUUCUCUCUCCACCGGACCAACUGUUGUAACUAAGCGUGCUGUACUUUUCUUUAGAAAUAGAGUUCUAUCUGUAUUCAGGAUUAUACUUGAAAAAAUAUGCCAUGUUCUGAUUAAUAACCAUCAAAGUAUUCAGAUUGCUUAAAGGAAUUCAAGUGCAACCUGCAUUCACCCCUUCUAAAACUUAAUUCAUAAAUACCUUUCUAUAAAGCUGUGUGUAGCAAGAAUGCAUUGUAUUUAGUUCUAUGCUGGCAGGAACAGAAUGGAGCACAACAAAGUACACAGCCUUACUUACGAGAGCCUUACAAAGUUACUAAAUGAAGACAUUGAGCUGGCUAUCUAAAUUUACUUUAUGCUCUUUGUUUUAUUGAGAAUCUCUAUUUAAAAAAAAUCAACAAAUGACAGGGCCUAGCUGUGUAAAUGACCUUGCAAAAUAUGUUAAUUUUUUUGUAAAAAAAGGAUUAUUUUCACAUUAAAGUGAAGCCUCUUUCGCAAGUUC
Molecule: long non-coding RNA, 688 nt
Filed under: Mus musculus (house mouse)
Lineage: Eukaryota; Metazoa; Chordata; Mammalia; Rodentia; Muridae
Description: long non-coding RNA chr1:60480154-60480842
Source: RNAcentral